CGCACGGGUGAGUAACGCGUAACUGACCUACCCUCAAGUCUGGAAUAACGGGUCGAAAGAUCCGCUAAUACUGGAUGUGCAGUGUCGCUGUGGCGACACUGUAAAGAUUGAUCGCUUGAGGAUGGGGUUGCGUUUCAUCAGCUGGUUGGUGGGGUAAAGGCCUACCAAGGCGACGACGAAUAGCCGGCCUGAGAGGGUGGCCGGCCACAGGGGCACUGAGACACGGGUCCC
RNAcentral lists this ribosomal RNA (231 nucleotides) under uncultured Deinococcales bacterium. RNAcentral describes it as "partial 16S ribosomal RNA". It matches the Rfam family "Bacterial small subunit ribosomal RNA", at positions 99 to 334 of the family's 1533-position model. The record is from RNAcentral. Lineage: Bacteria; Thermotogati; Deinococcota; Deinococci; Deinococcales.